UUUCUUACAAAUGAUUUAUUCCAACGAAGCCUUAAGCCUUAAUAAAGCAUUAAUUAUACCAUUUUCUGCAUGAUUCUUCAGUGCAUAUCUAGGAUCUUUCAAAACGCAGAAAAGAUGGAGUAUCAGAUUCAAUCUCCUUUAUUCUUUUUCAUGAAGGGUCGUCAUUUUUGUUUGUUUCUUCAUUUGAUUAAUCAAAUUAGUACUACUUUAUUUCUUGAAGCCUUAUCCAUGCAAAGACAAUCUAAAUAAUGCCGUGAAGAAAGCUGGUUAUCUGCAAGUGAAUAACUAUAUACUGAAACACAAAAUUCAUGUGUCUUCUACCAAACUGCUACGCCAUUUUUUUAAGUAGGAGAUUGGGGAUUCAAAUCUAGCUCUGCUAGGUACGUAUAUGUCUUCACCCACUAAAUCAUGCCAGGCUAGGUCUAUGAAACAAAUUUACAUAAAAUAUAUGAUACAUGAUAUUAAUCCUUUCUUGGCUAUGUAAUACAAGAAGUUUCUUCGAGUAUCUGGAUAAAAUAUAUGAAACCCAUAAAUUUUUUUGACUUUCUGAUGGAAAGUUAUGUCUACAAUUGAGCUUAAAGUAAGAAAAUUGGAGAUUUUCAGAGAAGCAAAACAAGAAUACCUGAAACAAAGGCCUUGUGAAGUGGAGAUGAAGAAGCUAAUAAAUGCAAGCAGUUGAAGAGUAUGAGAAACAACACCACCAUCUGUUCAAUUCCCAUUUGGCUUCCCUACAACUGAAAAUAGAAUGGCUUCUCCAAAACCUCCUUUUUAGAGUCUUUUGUGUAUAUCUGUCUCCCUAUCAAAAUGGAUACCUAUAGCUAUAGGUGUCUUUGGGCAAG
Molecule: unclassified non-coding RNA, 839 nt
Filed under: Hevea brasiliensis (rubber tree)
Lineage: Eukaryota; Viridiplantae; Streptophyta; Magnoliopsida; Malpighiales; Euphorbiaceae
Source: RNAcentral